GCCCCAUUAAAGUGAUGGGAGAUCUGGGUACGCCACUGUUUGUGAUACUUUAGCAGGGUUCUUUAAAAAAGGAAAAAUUCAGAGUGAACGCAAAUAAUUAAAAAUUUAUGGCCAGGGUAGUUAAAGGGACACUCCAGGCAGCUAAACAAGUUGAGCUUAAAUUAAAUCUAAUAAGCUCAAAUACCAGUGUUUCUUUUCUUUCAGGUCUGUGUAGUUUUCUUGCAGUGCUGUAAAAUGUUUUGCCGUUUUCAGCAGUGUAACUUAGCCUACUGAUUCCCAGUCUCUGAAAGAAACAUAUCCUUUGCAGCCAAUAAAAAUAGAGCCAUGUCUUCUGUAGUGUAAGGAAUGUGCACAGCACAGACUGCACUGCAGAGACAAGGCUAGAGCACAUCUAUGAUCCUCU
Molecule: non-coding RNA, 403 nt
Organism: Pelobates cultripes (western spadefoot toad)
Lineage: Eukaryota; Metazoa; Chordata; Amphibia; Anura; Pelobatidae
Source: the annotation of a GenBank genome assembly